AGCGGCAACAGCUCAAAUUUGAAAUCUGGCCCCGUCCGCGGGGUCCGAGUUGUAAUUUGCAGAGGAUGCUUUCGGCGAGGCGCCUUCCGAGUGCCCUGGAACGGGCCGCCGCAGAGGGUGAGAGCCCCGUACGGUCGGACGCCGAGCCGGUGUAAAGCUCCCUCGACGAGUCGAGUAGUUUGGGAAUGCUGCUCUAAACGGGAGGUAAACCCCUUCUAAAGCUAAAUACCGGCCAGAGACCGAUAGCGCACAAGUAGAGUGAUCGAAAGAUGAAAAGUACUUUGAAAAGAGAGUCAAACAGCACGUGAAAUUGUUGAAAGGGAAGCGCUUGUGGCCAGACUUGCGCCCCGGCGGCUCAGCCGUCCCUCGUGGGCGGUGCACUCCGCCGGGCGCAGGCCAGCAUCAGCUCGUGGCGGGGGAGAAAGGCGGCGGGAACGUGGCUCUUC
RNAcentral lists this ribosomal RNA (446 nucleotides) under Corollospora sp. RNAcentral's name for it is "partial large subunit ribosomal RNA". It matches the Rfam family "Eukaryotic large subunit ribosomal RNA", at positions 97 to 545 of the family's 3401-position model. Lineage: Eukaryota; Fungi; Ascomycota; Sordariomycetes; Microascales; Halosphaeriaceae. The record is from RNAcentral.